Molecule: transfer-messenger RNA, 336 nt
Filed under: Allobosea sp.
Lineage: Bacteria; Pseudomonadati; Pseudomonadota; Alphaproteobacteria; Hyphomicrobiales; Alloboseaceae
Also listed under: 1 other name
Rfam family: Alphaproteobacteria transfer-messenger RNA
About the family: Bacterial tmRNA, also known as 10Sa RNA or SsrA, is named for its dual tRNA and mRNA-like properties.
Source: RNAcentral
GUAGUUGGCUUGGCGACGCGGUGGAGCUAGGAGGAAUCGGCGUUUUCACUGUCGGCGAACUAUGGGAACCCUAAUGUAAAGUUCGGUACCCGGCGCCUCCACCAAAGCCCUGAUGAGACAGGGUUUCGGCGGGGGCGAAAUAGGAUCGACGAGGGUGUAAAGGUUGUCCUUUUGCUCGGCAUGGUUCCGCCGUUAUCGGGCCAAAGCAUAGUUGCCAACGACAACAAUGCUCGGGUUGCCGUCGCCGCGUAAGCGGUGCUGGUUCCCAAACCAAAGCCCUUGCGCUUAGCCGCGUAAGGCGGGGCUCGGAGGCGCCUGGCAACAGAAGCCUCCACU